RNAcentral lists this transfer RNA (35 nucleotides) under Lepanthes helicocephala. RNAcentral's name for it is "partial tRNA-Ser". Lineage: Eukaryota; Viridiplantae; Streptophyta; Magnoliopsida; Asparagales; Orchidaceae. The record is from RNAcentral.
GAGAGAUGGCUGAGUGGUUGAUAGCGCCGGUCUUG